RNAcentral lists this ribosomal RNA (497 nucleotides) under uncultured bacterium. Its description in RNAcentral is "partial 16S ribosomal RNA". It matches the Rfam family "Bacterial small subunit ribosomal RNA", at positions 28 to 507 of the family's 1533-position model. The record is from RNAcentral.
GACGAACGCUGGCGGCGUGCCUAAUACAUGCAAGUUGAGCGAUGAAGAUUGGUGCUUGCCCCAAUUUGAAGAGCAGCGAACGGGUGAGUAACGCGUGGGGAAUCUGCCUUUGAGCGGGGGACAACAUUUGGAAACGAAUGCUAAUACCGCAUAACAACUUUAAACAUAAGUUUUAAGUUUGAAAGAUGCAAUUGCAUCACUCAAAGAUGAUCCCGCGUUGUAUUAGCUAGUUGGUGAGGUAAAGGCUCACCAAGGCGAUGAUACAUAGCCGACCUGAGAGGGUGAUCGGCCACAUUGGGACUGAGACACGGCCCAAACUCCUACGGGAGGCAGCAGUAGGGAAUCUUCGGCAAUGGACGAAAGUCUGACCGAGCAACGCCGCGUGAGUGAAGAAGGUUUUCGGAUCGUAAAACUCUGUUGGUAGAGAAGAACGUUGGUGAGAGUGGAAAGCUCAUCAAGUGACGGUAACUACCCAGAAAGGGACGGCUAACUACGUG